RNAcentral lists this non-coding RNA (119 nucleotides) under Vigna radiata var. radiata (mung bean). Its description in RNAcentral is "Bacterial small subunit ribosomal RNA". It matches the Rfam family "Bacterial small subunit ribosomal RNA", at positions 401 to 535 of the family's 1533-position model. Lineage: Eukaryota; Viridiplantae; Streptophyta; Magnoliopsida; Fabales; Fabaceae. The record is from Rfam by way of RNAcentral.
GUGAAGGUAGAAGGUUUCCGGGUCAUGAACUUCUUUUCCUGGAGAAUAAGCAAUGACGAUAUCCGGAGAAUAAGCAUCGGCUAACUCUGUGCCAGCAGUCGCGGUAAGACAAAGGAUGC